CUUCUGCUGUAAUCAGUGAAUGUGAAUGCAGCGCUGACUGGUUGUUACACUUGACUGCAUUCCCUGCAACACACUCCACCAGUUGGCAGAAACAUUUGUACAGAAGCAUUGCAGAUGACACAACCCCACCAGGUGGCAAAAGCACUUGUACCUACCGAAGCAUUCUUCAAUAUGACUGAUGCUCAUUUGGUGGAAGGAUGAAUGGAUACUCAGAGACCGGGCUGCAUCACUACCCAGGCAGCCGCACACCACAUGUGAAAUACUUCUUCCUCGCAAGGCCUGAUGUUGUCGUGACGAUUGUGUACAUAGCUGAACCUGCAGUGACAGCAUAGUUGUAAGAAAAUUUUCUAAUCCUCAGCACUGUAGAUACACCAAAGAAUUAACAAUAGAAAAAAAACCAAAGAAUAAAGAACAGACUGAUGGAGUACAUACGUACCGAGAGCAGUCAGCGUCCUCUAUCAAUGGAGCAGUGAAGACUCUGCUAUCGUUUGUUUGAUUAGGAAGAACAAUUCCAUUCCUCCCGUGGACAAUGAAGACGUCUUUCCCGACCAUUCUGGUCUCG
Molecule: long non-coding RNA, 562 nt
Filed under: Hordeum vulgare
Lineage: Eukaryota; Viridiplantae; Streptophyta; Magnoliopsida; Poales; Poaceae
Description: long non-coding RNA (HVUL_LNC020153)
Source: RNAcentral